This 440-nucleotide ribosomal RNA is filed under the name uncultured Alphaproteobacteria bacterium. Its description in RNAcentral is "bacterial SSU rRNA". It matches the Rfam family "Bacterial small subunit ribosomal RNA", at positions 338 to 795 of the family's 1533-position model. Lineage: Bacteria; Pseudomonadati; Pseudomonadota; Alphaproteobacteria. The record is from RNAcentral.
CCUACGGGGGGCUGCAGUGGGGAAUAUUGGACAAUGGGGGCAACCCUGAUCCAGCAAUGCCGCGUGGGUGAUGAAGGCCUUCGGGUUGUAAAGCCCUUUCGGCGGGGACGAUGAUGACGGUACCCGCAGAAGAAGCCCCGGCUAACUUCGUGCCAGCAGCCGCGGUAAUACGAAGGGGGCUAGCGUUGUUCGGAAUGACUGGGCGUAAAGGGCGCGUAGGCGGCGAUUUUAGUCAGGCGUGAAAGCCCUGGGCUCAACCUAGGAACUGCGUUUGAUACUGGAUCGCUUGAGUGUGGGAGAGGAUGGUGGAAUUCCCAGUGUAGAGGUGAAAUUCGUAGAUAUUGGGAAGAACACCGGUGGCGAAGGCGGCCAUCUGGACCACUACUGACGCUGAGGCGCGAAAGCGUGGGGAGCAAACAGGAUUAGAUACCCCUGUAGUC